CUGGGACACAUAAAUGGAAAAGGUGGGCAGGUUAUACCAAUAGAAAAAUACUCUUCAGUGCUAGCUACCGCAGGGCUUCCAGGAACUCCUUCAGUGGUCUGGUAGAAAUCCAUGGAAACUCCAUUCUGCAACACAGCGCUGCUCUUCCUGCUUGUGGCUCUCCAGAAGAAUGGCCUACACACAACACUACCGAUCUCUUUUGCUCAAAAACAAAACAAAGAAACCUAAACGAAAGGGUAAGCGUUUAUUUGGAGUUAGUUUUCUGGUGGGUGACAUUAAGGCCCUUCACGCAGAGUUCAGGAACUCCUGAAUGGCGGCCUGCUGCUCAGGACUGAGCUGUGCUAUGCACUCAGUCCACAGUCCUCCAGAAGUCUGUACUUGGCGAACGACAUUGGCCAGACGUUUGGCACAAGGAUCUUCAUGUUUAAUUGCCUCGUGCAUUUCUCCUUCUGCAAUUAUACUGAAUAUUUUGGGCAGAUUGGUAUUGUUUGGGCCAAGAACAAUUGGAUGAUUACUUUCAAUCAGGUCACACAGAUAAUUGAAAGUCUGAACAGCUUCUUCUUUAUCUUCAUGUAGUGGAAGCCAAGACAACCAGUGUGGAAGGACCUCUUCAACGUUUACACAGUCAGGCUUGAACUUCAUGAUUUUCCCUACUGCUGAGAUGCAAUUCUCUGUAGCAUUGACAUUUUCUUUGGUCUUAGAAUCCGCAGACUGAAUAACUCUUACCAGCAGGGGAAGUGCUUCUGUACAAAAAGGGCGAUAAUUAUCUCCACCAUACUGUGCCAUGACUCCCAGGCCAUAUGCAGCUGCUUGCCUGACUUCUGGGCUGUUGUCACAUACAUAUUGGAGCAUUGGUCUUAAGAAAUAUUCUGCAUAUUUAAAUGAGGCUGGACUACAGUGUUCUAUGACAUCAUCAAAGAUGCAUAAUCCCCAUUGUCUGUCUGGCCAUGGUCUAUGUGGACAAAUGAGGUUGACAAUUAAUGGAAGCAGCUGUUCAAACCAUGGUAACACCUUUUCUUUGUAGCUACUGAAUAUUGAGUGUAAAAUAUCUGACACUUUGGUCAGAAUAUAAACAUCAUUAUCAUCCUCAUCUUGUAGUGACUCUUCGACCUGUUCAUCAUAGUCUUCAUCUUGUCUUUUAACUUGUCGUAAUUCUUGAUUUUUAAAAUGUUCUUCAAGCUUUGCUUUCAAUAUACCUCCCAGUUCUUCAAAGUGUUCAUUAUUAAGGCAUCCAUCUCCCAUUACUUCAAUGCACUUUGCAAAAGAAUGCAUUAUUUCUGAGAGGACGUCUGAAUCUGGUUCUGUACCAAUGGCCUUAAUUAGAGCAUCACACAUAAAAUGCCACAUUUGUGUGAGAUACUCAGGACCACGGACUCUUGCACACUCCAGGAGAAGAGGCAUGGAUUCCGCUGCUGCCACUCGAACACCAUCGUGGAAAUAAAAUUUCAGUAAAGGGACCAUCAGUUUGACAACCUGUUCAGUGUACUCCACAAAGCCUUCCUUUAACUCCUUAGCAUAGCAAACCAACAUCUGGCAAGCAGUUGAUUUUUCUUCUAGUCCUGCAGUUUUAAUACCAAAGCUUUGCUGAUCUCCAAGGUUCACAAAUUCCCAACCAUCAUCAUCACUCAUAUUCUCCAUGUCUUGGGUAUCUAAAAGGGCUACUUCGGGCUUAAUUGAAGCCGUCUUCAUUAAAGGCCCCAUAACCACUGGAAGGUAUUGCUGAAAUUCUUUUCCAAGGAGUUUGCACAUUCUGGCCCAUGCUGAGAUCAUGUAAGAGAUCUGAGGAUCAUCAUCUUCCAUAUCAUUGAAGUCUGUCUGGGUCUUUAACAAAAGCUGCAUCACAUCUGAUGCAUCCUGCAUGAAUUUUUCCUUCCCAACAGCCAGACCAAUGAGGCUAAUGCAUUCAAUAGUUUUUCCUCUCAGAAGUCUCAGUUCUUUUUGAACCGCAUUCUCAACGAUGUGCUUCAGUGAUGGCAUAAAUAAAUCAUAGUAGGGGACAAAUUUUUUUUCUGCAGUAUCAGCAACUGAUGCAAUGGAUGUCACAACUUGUUCCAAAACUAACUUGGUGCCUUUCUGAAUCAGCUCUUGAAGCUUCAGUACCAUAAUGGAAUGCAGAUGUUUCACCAAAUUAUCCAAGUAUGGAAUAAGUAGUGACUUGGGACAGUCUUCAGUAAAGUUAAUGAGGGCAGCAGCUGCAUGGGCCUGCACACGUUGAUUGCCUUGGUCUUCCAUGGUCUGCAGCAGAGCUGCAAUCACCUUCUCAUGAAAUUUCUUUUGGAAACCAGGUGCAAAAUCUGUAGCCAUCUGUCCCACGGCAUUACAGGCUGCAUACCUUACUCUUGGAUGAGGAUCCUGCAACUGCGUUGCUGUCAAAAUCAUCAUCUUCUAGUUCAUCUGCAUUUGCCCAGUCCUCAUCUUCUUCCAAAUCAACCAUCAUUGCUAACAUCUGAGGAAUAGUCUGUGCAACAAUAUUGGUAUGUUUUCUUAACAUAGCAGCUGCAGUCUCAGAGAGGGUGACGAUCACUUCAAGGGCAAGCUGGCGUUGCAUAUUGUUGAGGCUAGUGUCUCCACACAACUUUAGACUUAGCUGUAGAGUUGCUUCCAAGUGAGGACGCAAAUACUUUGGAACAGUAUCUGCAAUCUCAACAAGGGAUUUUAGGACAGAAUCAUCAUUCUGGUAGCACGAGUCAUUUACCGCCUGUAGGAAUCCCGGUAGCAAGUUCUUGAUGGCAGUCUGAACAUCAGAGGGAAGUGCUGGAUAGACUUCAUCAAAUGCAGAGGACAAGAGACGUCUUAGAAGAACGGCGGCCAUUUGUCUAGCCUCUUCAGCAGCUGUUGUAUUUCUGAUGGCUUGUAAGAGGAAUGUGAUCUUUGACUGGCCUGGGAUAUUCUCAUAGGUUUCCUCUGCCUGUUUCCGGACCACAUUGUCGGGGCUGAGCAGGUUUCCCAGGAGCAGGUAGAACUGUUGCUGCUCUGCCGCGGCCGCCGC
RNAcentral lists this long non-coding RNA (2989 nucleotides) under Pan troglodytes (chimpanzee). RNAcentral's name for it is "long non-coding RNA NONPTRT003392". Lineage: Eukaryota; Metazoa; Chordata; Mammalia; Primates; Hominidae. The record is from RNAcentral.